GUCAGACAUGCCAAGAAGUAUUCAUCCCCUCACAUUGAAACCUCGAUACACAAGCAAAGUUCAAAAACAAACUGGCCCAAGUUUUAUUAGCAUUUCCAUGAAUGAAAAUAAAUGAAAAAGGAUGGGUGUUCAUGACUAUUUUAAGGGCACAUAAUAAAUAUUUAAUUCAUGUUGCACCUGAUAGAAGCAAAGUCCAGAGUCAAAUCUAAGGUUUUU
Molecule: unclassified non-coding RNA, 216 nt
Filed under: Hevea brasiliensis (rubber tree)
Lineage: Eukaryota; Viridiplantae; Streptophyta; Magnoliopsida; Malpighiales; Euphorbiaceae
Source: RNAcentral